RNAcentral lists this unclassified non-coding RNA (880 nucleotides) under Hevea brasiliensis (rubber tree). The record is from RNAcentral. Lineage: Eukaryota; Viridiplantae; Streptophyta; Magnoliopsida; Malpighiales; Euphorbiaceae.
GGAGGCGAUAGCGAAUUCAGCAUGGGAAGGUAGAACAUGGAUCUCGGUCAUUGAGAAAGGAAGGACGCUUGUCGGUUCUGAUUGCUUCAUCAGAGACAGGGUCUAGCGAAGGAAAGAGACUGAAUUGGGUUCAACAUCAGCACUCGUUACUAGCUUCUUCGGAGUCCUUUGAACUAGAGUUCGUUCAAAAGCGCAUAAGAUGAGUUGAAUAGCCUGAGUUCACUCAUUUCUCUUUCGACCGGAACUCCUUCAUCAGUGAAUCCGUAAGUGACUUCGAUACCUUUCCAAGAGUCACUCGCUUCCAUGCCCUUAGCACCAACACUACUGGACCUUCCUCCAAGAGCAGAAAUAGCCAUUCUUGCUGCCCUUCAACGACAACAGAUGCGGAUGAAAUAGCCGCGCUCGCUUAUUCAAUUCGGCCUCUAGCUAAGUGAAUUUGUGAUGAAAGAUCUUCCUAUCCUUUUGCCCUCUCCAGCGUCUGGAAUCCGUACUUGGGAAGCAGAUCUCCCCCGCGAUAACCGACCUCAACAACUUAGUUGGAUGACUUCCCACUUUCUUAUGAGCCCUAACCGCAAUCUACAGCAAAUCCUGUAGAUUGUACUCGACCCAUACGACUUCUUGUCUUGCUUCGUUAUGUACUCAAUCCCCACCCAUUAUGGAACUUCUUGUGCAACUGCGACUCUUCAAAUUCGGGAAACUUCUCCCAAAGCUGUUGCCCCCCUUGACGCAUUGGUUGCCAAGAUUCCUACAUGGUAGUUGAACCCCGGGAUUCGUUCUUUUCCGUUGCUAUAACAAUUGCUCUAUAUUCGAAGCAAAUUCUACCAAUUUCUGAUUGAUGUAAGUUCUCCGCACACUCUUUUUUCCGCCGAAACCUUAGAAA